CUACGGGAGGCAGCAGUGGGGAAUAUUGGACAAUGGGCGCAAGCCUGACGCAGCAACGCCGCGUGCGGGAUGACGGCCUUCGUGGUUGUAAACCGCUUUCAGCAGGGACGAAAAUGACGGUACCUGCAGAAGAAGUCCCGGCUAACUACGUGCCAGCAGCCGCGGUAAUACGUAGGGGACAAGCGUUGUCCGGAUUCAUUGGGCGUAAAGAGCUCGUAGGCGGUCCAGUAAGUUGGGUGUGAAAGCUCCGGGCUCAACCCGGAGAGGUCACCCAAAACUGCUGUGACUAGAGUCCAGUAGAGGAGCGUGGAAUUCCUGGUGUAGCGGUGAAAUGCGCAGAUAUCAGGAGGAACACCAGUGGCGAAGGCGCCGCUCUGGGCCGUAACUGACGCUGAGGGACGAAAGCGUGGGUAGCGAACAGGAUUAGAUACCCUGGUAGUCC
RNAcentral lists this ribosomal RNA (442 nucleotides) under uncultured bacterium. RNAcentral describes it as "bacterial SSU rRNA". It matches the Rfam family "Bacterial small subunit ribosomal RNA", at positions 339 to 796 of the family's 1533-position model. The record is from RNAcentral.